AACCUAGCACACCUGCGGUGUGUACCUGCGGAGGGAUCAUUACCGAGUUAGGGUAGUUACUCGCUGCCCGACCUCCCAACCCUGUGUCUACCACACUUUGUCGUUGCUUCGGCGGACCGGUCGACCAACUGGUCGUGACCGCCGGGGGCUGGCUCUGUCACCCCUGGAGAGCGUCCGCCGAUGGCCCAACCACAAACUCUUGUACCGAAACGUGUCGUCUGAAUAAUUGAGAAAUCAAAU
This 240-nucleotide unclassified non-coding RNA is filed under the name soil metagenome. Its description in RNAcentral is "partial contains 5.8S ribosomal RNA, internal transcribed spacer 2, and large subunit ribosomal RNA". The record is from RNAcentral.